UGUGCUCUCAUGGCGACUGGCCAAAGAGAAGCACCCCUCUGCGCAGAAGUAAAAUUGCUUUGCUAAGAAUCCUUUAUUUGAGUGUUCAAUUUCCUUAGGAUUUUGAACGUUAUUCCCAACAAUUCUGGUGCCCAAAUGUGGGACUCAAAUAUUCUCCUUCGGGAAGGGGGUCUUCGCUCACUCCACCCAGGGGGGAUGCAUCCCACUGUCUAGUUACAGUGGCCUGAGGGUGAAGGGAGAUCAGGUCCCACCUGUUGUGACGAAUAAAUCUGGGUUCUCAGCAAAGUGGACAGGAGAGGCUUGCAAGACCACGGCAAUAAAAGGACCAGGUUUUGCUGUUUCAGAAUAAAUUUUUAUUACAAAGAAAAUGCAUUUACAUCUAGAAAAUGAAGACAAAAGAGAAGAAAAUUAAAAUGUCCUGCAGGCUGGAUGAGGUGGCUCAUACCUGUAAUCUCAGCACCAUGGGAGUCCAAAGCAGGAUUGCUCAAGACCAGAAGUUCAAGACUGGCCUGGACAACAUAGCAGGAUCUCAUCAACAACAACUUAGCCAGCCUGACUUCAGUUCAUUCUAAACACAAUGAACAGAGUGUUCCUGUUAAAACUGAAGCCUGGCCUUUGCCUCAGGACCCUGCUUCCUGGCACCUCUUCCAAAAGUGGCUCCCUUCCCUCACACAGUCUUCACACCGCUGGACCUCAAAG
Molecule: long non-coding RNA, 699 nt
Filed under: Homo sapiens (human)
Lineage: Eukaryota; Metazoa; Chordata; Mammalia; Primates; Hominidae
Description: HSALNT0165351
Source: RNAcentral